Molecule: ribosomal RNA, 119 nt
Filed under: Jaculus jaculus (lesser Egyptian jerboa)
Lineage: Eukaryota; Metazoa; Chordata; Mammalia; Rodentia; Dipodidae
Source: RNAcentral
UUCUAUGGCCAUACCACCCUAAACACUCCUGAUGUUGUCUAAUCUCAGAAGCUAAGCAAAGUCAGGCCUGGUUAGCACUUGAAUGGGAGAUGGGAUCUGAGUUCUUUAAGGCAUCUAAU